GGCUGAGCAGGAAGAAGAUGCUGAGCUGAAACGGGCCCCAUUCCCCGAGGAACGCCGUGACUUCAUCAUAGUCCACAGACGCCAUGAGUGUGUGAGUAGCUGGAGUUUCCUGUUCUCUCUCUCUUUCUAUCUUUCCCUGUCGAGCUACUCAUGGCAUUCCAGAGCUACUAGUGAUUCCGACCCCCCUCUGUCCUCUGGACUUGUCUGACUCAUCCUGGUCCCGCGCCUCCGGCUGGAAAGCCCGUCACGUGGAGGCCCCGUGUGUCAUGAUUGUGGAUGGUUCCGCUUGACCAUGAGGAUGGUGUUGGACUCAAAAACAGCUGUUCACUGAUGAAUUCCGCAUCACUUCUAGACUAAUCACCGGCCUGAACAUCUGUCAUCAUCUGCACCUGUUUCUCUUUGAGUUAUAGGAUUCUAAUGCAUGAAGGUUAAAAACUUGCUAAAAAUGAGAGCUGGAGAAGGCGUUCAGGAGGCCUUGAGGACUAUUCUUCGAUUGUACUAUAAAAGAUUAAGUCCGGCUCUUUGUAAUCAAAAUAUGAAGAAGUGAGAGAUGAUUCAAACCUAAACACUAGGCUGUAUA
Clarias gariepinus (North African catfish) is the source of this 580-nucleotide long non-coding RNA. RefSeq lists it as uncharacterized. NCBI's taxonomy places the organism in Eukaryota, Metazoa, Chordata, Actinopteri, Siluriformes, Clariidae. The record is from RefSeq and is a predicted model, not a curated record. The transcript has 3 exons.